ACACAUUAAGCAUUGAUCUUUAUGAUUUUCUUGCUCACUGAGUUCUUUGUGUAUAUUGAAAUUCACAACUCACAAGAGAAAGGAGAAUAGAAUAAAGUUAAUAUGCUUAAGGCUAUGGAAGACCUGAAACUGUUGUUUGAUUCUUGGGAUUGUUUUUUGUUCUAUUUACGUGUCCUUAGUUUUAGUCUUAUCAAUAACCUUAUUGGAACUGGAAUCUUUGUAUAGAUUAAUAAAAAUAACACUUUUCUUUUGUUUUGUUUUGUUUUUUCUGAAACAUUUACUAUUUGCUUUUAUAUAGGUUAAAGAAACGAAGAUGUGAAAGUGAUUGUAGCGGGUGAUGACGAUUGGUUGCCUCAGUCGCCAAAGGUUGUAUUCGAUAAAAGCAAAGAGUUAGGUGGAAAAAAGAUGGAGCUCAUGUCAUUCUCAAAAACUGUAGUAGAUGUGAUGCAGGAAGCCAAGGUUUCUGCUAGCAAAGAAGCUGAAGUAUCUCAAAACAUUCUUUGAGGAAGCUGCUUCUCAGGCACCACCAGGCCAAGAUUGUCAUAAUAUUUCCAGUAGAGUUUUGGAUCCCCUAUGCAUGGUUCAUACCAUUUAUAUUAUAUUCGUGUCAGAGUUGAACAACGAAUUAUAAACCACCUAACAUAGCAAAUAUUUAUUUUUUAUGCUC
This is a long non-coding RNA of Brassica napus (rape), 667 nucleotides long. RefSeq lists it as uncharacterized. The transcript is spliced from 2 exons. The record is from RefSeq and is a predicted model, not a curated record. Lineage: Eukaryota; Viridiplantae; Streptophyta; Magnoliopsida; Brassicales; Brassicaceae.